AACGAACGCUGGCGGCAGGCCUAACACAUGCAAGUCGAACGCCGUAGCAAUACGGAGUGGCAGACGGGUGAGUAACGCGUGGGAACAUACCCCUCGGUUCGGAAUAACUCAGGGAAACUUGAGCUAAUACCGGAUACGUCCGAGGUUUUGAUCGACCUUGGAGAAAGAUUUAUCGCCGAAGGAUUGGCCCGCGUCUGAUUAGCUUGUUGGUGAGGUAAUGGCUCACCAAGGCGACGAUCAGUAGCUGGUCUGAGAGGAUGAUCAGCCACAUUGGGACUGAGACACGGCCCAAACUCCUACGGGAGGCAGCAGUGGGGAAUAUUGGACAAUGGGCGAAAGCCUGAUCCAGCCAUGCCGCGUGAGUGAUGAAGGCCUU
Molecule: ribosomal RNA, 376 nt
Filed under: uncultured bacterium
Lineage: Bacteria
Description: bacterial SSU rRNA
Rfam family: Bacterial small subunit ribosomal RNA
Source: RNAcentral